CCUACGGGAGGCAGCAGUGGGGAAUAUUGGACAAUGGGCGAAAGCCUGAUCCAGCAAUGCCGCGUGAGUGAUGAAGGCCUUAGGGUUGUAAAGCUCUUUUACCAGGGAUGAUAAUGACAGUACCUGGAGAAUAAGCUCCGGCUAACUCCGUGCCAGCAGCCGCGGUAAUACGGAGGGAGCUAGCGUUGUUCGGAAUUACUGGGCGUAAAGCGUACGUAGGCGGUUAUUCAAGUCAGAGGUGAAAGCCUGGAGCUCAACUCCAGAACUGCCUUUGAAACUAGAUAGCUAGAAUCUUGGAGAGGUGAGUGGAAUUCCGAGUGUAGAGGUGAAAUUCGUAGAUAUUCGGAAGAACACCAGUGGCGAAGGCGACUCACUGGACAAGUAUUGACGCUGAGGUACGAAAGCGUGGGGAGCAAACAGGAUUAGAUACCCUGGUAGUCCACGCCGUAAACGAUGAUAACUAGCUGUUCGGGCUCUACGAGCUUGAGUGGCGCNGCUACGACAUUAAGUUAUUCCGUCCGUCGGGAGGUACGGUCGCGAGAAUUAAACUACAAGAGAGUAGACGCGUGAGAGCGACGACGACGACGACGAGGAGAG
This 597-nucleotide ribosomal RNA is filed under the name uncultured bacterium. Its description in RNAcentral is "bacterial SSU rRNA". It matches the Rfam family "Bacterial small subunit ribosomal RNA", at positions 338 to 948 of the family's 1533-position model. The record is from RNAcentral.